AUUGAACGCUGGCGGCAGGCCUAACACAUGCAAGUCGAACGGUAACAGGAAGAAGCUUGCUUCUUUGCUGACGAGUGGCGGACGGGUGAGUAAUGUCUGGGAAACUGCCUGAUGGAGGGGGAUAACUACUGGAAACGGUAGCUAAUACCGCAUAACGUCGCAAGACCAAAGAGGGGGACCUUCGGGCCUCUUGCCAUCGGAUGUGCCCAGAUGGGAUUAGCUAGUAGGUGGGGUAACGGCUCACCUAGGCGACGAUCCCUAGCUGGUCUGAGAGGAUGACCAGCCACACUGGAACUGAGGCACGGUCCAGACUCCUACGGGAGGCAGAAGUGGGGAAUAUUGCACAAUGGGCGCAAGCCUGAUGCAGCCAUGCCGCGUGUAUGAAGAAGGCCUUCGGGUUGUAAAGUACUUUCAGCGGGGAGGAAGGGAGUAAAGUUAAUACCUUUGCUCAUUGACGUUACCCGCAGAAGAAGCACCGGCUAACUCCGUG
RNAcentral lists this ribosomal RNA (490 nucleotides) under uncultured bacterium. RNAcentral describes it as "partial 16S ribosomal RNA". It matches the Rfam family "Bacterial small subunit ribosomal RNA", at positions 30 to 507 of the family's 1533-position model. The record is from RNAcentral.